UACAACUUUAUUAAUACAACAUGAAAACUGUGAAUUUAAAUACAAAUAUUGCCGUCUAGAUAAUAUUCACACCCAAAUAAGUCCUCAUUAUAAUUAUUGGUACAUUAUUUUACAAAAAUGGUGAGUACUACUAAAAACGACUUUCUAGAACCUUCAUUCCAUACCCCGACUAGUACUCGCUACAUUCUCGCAUCCUGAGAAGAAAAAUGGAAUAAAAAGGAAAAGGGUGAUCUCAAUUAGCCCAGUAAAGAAUAUUAUGACUAAGAUAAUAUAGAACAAAUUAUCGUUAGUCUUCAAUAGGAAAAAAAAUCUGAUAAAAAACAAUAGACAACAAAUUUCAGAUCAAUAUUCACAGCGGAAAUAAUAAUUCAUAGAAGAGUUACGUAGGGAAUGAAAUCUACUAUAAUCUAUGAAUUUAAAAGUCCAUCAUCAAUAUUUUAUCCAUGUAACAUCAACCAAUAUUCAUCUUUGCACUACAGGCCAAAGAUAUUCAUCAGUUGGUCAUGUUCAUCUCAACACCUGUACAUCUUUGCACUACGAGCCAAAGAUAUUCAUAAGAAAAUCAACCAUCUUCGCACUACAGGCCAAAGAUAUUCAGUAAUACCAUUAUUUAGGACUGAGGAUGAUGAAAAAUAUUUUAAAGAGAACGAAUCCAGUGAAACAAAA
Molecule: long non-coding RNA, 666 nt
Filed under: Panax ginseng (ginseng)
Lineage: Eukaryota; Viridiplantae; Streptophyta; Magnoliopsida; Apiales; Araliaceae
Description: long non-coding RNA (PGIN_LNC019275)
Source: RNAcentral